UACGUAGGGUGCGAGCGUUGCCCGGAUUUAUUGGGCGUAAAGGGCGCGUAGGCGGCUCGGCACGUCCGUUGUGAAAUCGCCCGGCUCAACUGGGCGGGGUCAGCGGAUACGGUCGAGCUUGAGCAAGCUAGGGGGCAAUGGAAUUCCCGGUGUAGUGGUGAAAUGCGUAGAUAUCAGGAGGAACACCGGUGGCGAAGGCGGAUCUCUGGGCCGAUACUGACGCUGAGGAGCGAAAGCGUGGGGAGCGAACAGG
RNAcentral lists this ribosomal RNA (253 nucleotides) under uncultured bacterium. RNAcentral's name for it is "partial 16S ribosomal RNA". It matches the Rfam family "Bacterial small subunit ribosomal RNA", at positions 524 to 776 of the family's 1533-position model. The record is from RNAcentral.